AGAGUUUGAUCCUGGCUCAGAUUGAACGCUGGCGGCAUGCUUUACACAUGCAAGUCGAACGGCAGCAUAGGUGCUUGCACCUGAUGGCGAGUGGCGGACGGGUGAGUAAUGCAUCGGGACGUGUCCGGAAGAGGGGGAUAACUGUUCGAAAGAACAGCUAAUACCGCAUAAUAUCCGAGGAAGAAAGCUGGGGACCUUAGGGCCUGGCGCUUACGGGGCGACCGAUGUCUGAUUAGCUAGUUGGUGGGGUAAAAGCCUACCAAGGCGACGAUCAGUAGCUGGUCUGAGAGGACGACCAGCCACACUGGGACUGAGAAACGGCCCAGACUCCUACGGGAGGCAGCAGUGGGGAAUUUUGGACAAUGGGGGCAACCCUGAUCCAGCAAUGCCGUGUGUCUGAAGAAGGCCUUCGGGUUGUAAAGGACUUUUGUUGGGGAGCAAGGUGCACAGGUUAAGAGCUAGUGUACUUGAGAGUACCCAAAGAAUAAGGACCGGCUAACUACGUGCCAGCAGCCGCGGUAAUACGUAGGGUCCAAGCGUUAAUCGGAAUUACUGGGCGUAAAGAGUGCGCAGGCGGCUUUGUAAGCUUGAUGUGAAAUCCCCGGGCUCAACCUGGGAACUGCAUUGAGGACUGCAAGGCUAGAGUGUAGCAGAGGGGGGUAGAAUUCCACGUGUAGCGGUGAAAUGCGUAGA
RNAcentral lists this ribosomal RNA (693 nucleotides) under uncultured bacterium. RNAcentral's name for it is "bacterial SSU rRNA". It matches the Rfam family "Bacterial small subunit ribosomal RNA", at positions 8 to 694 of the family's 1533-position model. The record is from RNAcentral.